CACCACAGAACUGCCCGGCAAGUGCUUGGUUUUCCAUUUCGCUUUUUCUGGACCGGUGGGGGAGAGCUGGGCUGCUGCGGGACACAGGUCGCUACCCCACGGCCGGCCUCCAAACCCCCUGUGCCCAGUAGCCUUCCCGGGAGCCUGAUCCUUGCGCGCCAAGAACACCAGCCUGGAGGGGCACCUGCAGAUGUGGAUCUUGAGGGCUAUAAAUGCCUUUCUGGAUCAUCCAAGAGGGCAUUUCCACAGAGAAGCAGCAAUACCAAACACAGCAUGAAGCCGUUCAUGGGGAGAGCUGACAAAACAGGUGAUAGAGAUGUCAACAAUACAUGACAGUUGCAAUGUUCAAUGACUGCUACUGCCUUGAAAUGACCUUACUGCCUACAGAUUUCCAAGAGAGAAGCCAGUAUUCCAAGAGCUGCGGAAACUUGGCAAAGAAAGAAUUACCUAUGGCCAGAAGGAAUGUAUUGAUUCAGCAUAUUUUCACUGCAGUGUAUUUAAGGCAGGAGGAAAGAAAGUUGUCAAUGAAAUAAAGCUUUGCCUUCACAAAGGCUUGUUAAAAUGACUUGUAUGAAUAAACAUCUCUGCUCACCUCA
This is a long non-coding RNA of Dromaius novaehollandiae (emu), 596 nucleotides long. RefSeq lists it as uncharacterized. Lineage: Eukaryota; Metazoa; Chordata; Aves; Casuariiformes; Dromaiidae. The record is from RefSeq and is a predicted model, not a curated record. The transcript is spliced from 3 exons.